Molecule: long non-coding RNA, 3970 nt
Organism: Orcinus orca (killer whale)
Lineage: Eukaryota; Metazoa; Chordata; Mammalia; Artiodactyla; Delphinidae
Exons: 3
Source: RefSeq, a predicted model, not a curated record
GAAAGUACUACCUUCCACAAAGGAGGAAGAGGUGCCAAAACCUGGGCUUUCUUCUGUGGUUGGAGCCCAUGACAAAUUCCAGCCUGAGACUUGGAGGCAGGUUCACAACGAGGAAGAGGUAGAGGGUCUUAAUGCACGUAAAUCUCACGCCACUUGGCCACCUGCAGUCAGUGACUCAUCCGUGCUCAGCCACCCAGACCUCUGGGAGCACCUGUUCUAGGAAAGAAUUUGUGGCCCAACUUACUCCUACGUGCAUUGAUUCAAUGCCAAAGGAAAGGAUCAAGGUCUGACAGUUGAGGGUCUGUGGAUGGCAUCUAUAAAAUGCCUACUACAACUGCAAUGAGAAGGAGCUGGGGCUGAAACCCCAGGGUUUGCAACAGACAUGCUGGUGUUGGGUGUGAACCAGGCAGCCACACGCAAACCGGGCCUGCUCUCGCUGUGGUUUCCCGUGCUCGUCUACUGGUGUCCUAACCUGCCUCCACUUGGGGCUGGGCUCUCAGGUGCCACGCUCGGCCCUGGCACAAGUGGGGACCUGGGCAAGUGGAGCUGAAUGAGAAAGGCAGGCAUCCUGGUGCAGUGGGAAGAACACUGGAUUCAAAAGUAGGCCAUGAGUUUACUAGCUGUAUGGCAUGCAAUAGGUGAAUGACCUCUCUGGGGUUCAGCUCCUCAUAUGCAAAGUGGGCACCAGGACUUUGCAGAGAAAAUUCAAUGAGAUAUUUCUAGGCUGGUGCCUGGCUCAUCCAAGAACGGAUGUUUCCUAAAAGGAGAUUAAUUGAUUCAUCUGGUUUGCUGUAAAAGGUUUCCCAGGCCCAUCAGCUCCAAUGAACAGCUUAGAGCAAGCAAAGGAGCACACUGUCUAGUGACUAAAUAAUGAACCAAUAACGGGCAGGAAAAAAAGUAAAGCUAGCACUUGGCUAAGGAAAAAAAACAGACAUGAUGACAUCUAUUUACCUUUUUAGAUAAGCAUUCCCCACUUUCCAAAUCAGCCCUGAAGCCUUUUAUUUGUUAAUGGCUCAACUCCAAAGUAUGUGCCCUGGGAAAUCACAAUGAACCUAAUCAUUUUAGCAAUAAUCCCUGAAAAAUUGGCCGUUACUGGAAGUGACCAACAAUUUGGUUGUAACGGCCUGAAGCAAGAUUAUUAACAGCAAAUGUGAAGAUGAUUAUUUUAGCAAAUUGCCACUGAUUGGUAAAUUCAGAACACAAAGACCUCAUGCCUGGCUGGAGUCUCCGGGAAAUCAUUUCAUGCCCAUAAUAAGUGUCUGCUGCUUGAGAUAUAAAAUGCCAUUUGAGUCAGUUCUCUCACUGUUUGGGGCAGGGAAGGUGCCCAGUUAUAGGCAGGGACGGAUAGGAUUUGUGGGUGGGGUGAAGCAAAGGAUGCUAAGAAAGUUACCACCUCCACGCACUGAUUUUGGAAGCCCAUGUUUCCUAAUUGCUGAGCCAAAGAGAAGUUCAAUGCAUUAUAAGGCUCCAUGUGUGUAUAACAUGGUAGCCACUUUCAGUGAAAUUAUUAUAUCCAUAAAUUAGUGAGAUAUUUUUGGUUUGCAAGAAGACAGAAAGCCCAAGCCAAACUUGUUUAAACAAAAAUGGAAUAUUUGGGCUCAUUUAAAUGAAAAUUCCUGGAAUAUGUCCAGCUUCAGGCCUGGCUUAACCAAGGGGACCACACGGUGGCUCCCAGAUUCCGUACUUCUGCAUCAGUUUCCUUCCUUUCCUUCCUUUGUGUCAGCCACACAGAGGGGAAGGUGGGGCAGCAGGGCCAGGCUUGCUCCUCUACAGAUUAACAUCUCUUUCCCGGGCGACCCAGCAACGGCCCCGCUGUCUGUCUGUAAUGUGGAUCCUGUCCUCGUCACCAAACCAGUCACAGUGACUGGAGAAUGUCACGAGCUAAUUGGCCAGAACCACAGGCCAGAGCCAUUCCUGGAACUAAAGAUGUGUGCUGAGGACAGGGGAGAGGUCAGAUCCUCUGAGAGACACUGAGGUGCUCUAACCGAGAGAAAGGGCCCAGAAGGAGGACAGAUGUUCCCCACGUUCUCCAACCCAGGACAGAGCAGUGAUUUAUAGUAAUUAGCAUCCAGUGACUCCCUCACUCCAAACAAACACAAAUGGAUGAGGCGCUCCUGGCCAAAGCUGAUGCAGUGUGCUUUAUUUAUUUAAUUGGAUUUAAUCUUCAUUCUGUUUAGUGAAUACUGGAAGGAAACAAUUAAGCAAAAGGGUGGAGCCAUCUAUCAGACUGAAAGAAGAAGCAAGCUCCUCAGAGCUGAAGCAGAUUCUAGAGGAGAGGUGAAGGGCAAAGGGAGCGUGCGAAGGAGGAGAAUCACGUUUGUUGCCCUGGUCACUGAGAACUUUCAGCCUCACGGUGCAGCCUCUCCAUCAUCUGUUGAAACUCAGACUUUUGCAUCUGCAUAGAUUCCCUGCCUUCUUAACUUUGCACAAGUCUUCCCUCUGCCUAGGAUUCCUUCGUCUACUUUCCUAGGUGCAAAACUUCACCUGAUUCUUCAAGACUCUGACUUCUCCUCCUGCAGCGACCUUCCAAGUCUUCUAGGCUUCCAGAACCACAGUACCCUCUGCAUAUCAUCGGAAAAGAGAAGUUAACAGACAACUUUGGUCCCCUCCCUCACAUCUGCCGUUAAGAGAAACAGGGAUUUGCGGGGUGGCACUGGUGAGUGAAUAAAAAGCACUGACUGAGGGCCACCCAUAGGAUAGGCUCUGGGGGCUGGGGAGGGGGGGCUGAGAUCUCUGUGAGUUCAUGUUGCAGGGGGCGUUUCUGGAAGAAGAUGGAAUUGGGUGGAGGACUUGAGAGAUGCCCAGGAUGUAGACAGACUGAUGAUAGAAGGGGGAGUGACCUGAGCCAGAGGUGGGAGCUGACAGAUGUGUGCAGGUAGCACUUCCAAAGGCGGUGAGGGGUGCAGUGGGAAAGUAAUGGGGAAGAUGGGACACAGCCAGCCAACGGAUGAACAUUCAAGCUUUGUCCCUAUAGGCAAUGGGCAGCUGCCGAAGUUAUCAAGUGACCUGGAAAAUGGGAUUUUAGGCCAUUCGCCUGGCUAGGUUGUGCCAGGGUGACAGCACGAAGACAGAUGAGUUCAGGUACCACUGUAGUGAACCACAGGUAAGCUGUGAAAGUCACCCUCUAUGGUAGAAGCACCUGGGCAUUAAGUCAUCAGAGUGGCUACUGUGAAUUAGGGACAUUCCGUCUGCCGGGCACAAUUCUAUGCUCUUUUCAUGUAAUAACUCAGUUAAUCCUGAAACAGCCUUGUAAGUACGAUGAUCAUUCCCAGUUUUUCUACUGAUGUGGAAACUCAAGUCCUGAGUGGUGAAGCCCCUUGUUCAAGGUCACCCAGUUACUAUGUGGCAGACUCGGGAUUCAAAAGCAGACAGUCUGGCCUUUUGCCUUCACCACAACACUAGCCAGAAGACCCGGAUUCAAACCCCAGAGCUUCAUCAAACCAUUUUUGUGAGUUUGGAUCUCAGUCUCCUUAUCUGUCCAAUGGGGACAACGGAACCCGCCUCAUGCCUGAGGCAUCUAAGCAACAGAAAUGCUGAGCUCAGAGCUAGGGCUCUAUGAAGGCUCUGAUCAGUGCCGAUUCCCCUUCUGUUUCAGUUGGUCACAUCAUCUUGUAAUUAAAAUGUAUCACUAAGAAAGCAGAGCUCACCUCGCAACCCCCGCGCCCACGAAGUGGGUAGGGAGGAGGGGGUCAUGCUGGGGCCCAGCGGUCUUCUCUGCGCUUCCUGUUCACCCCGCAGCCCCCAACUCCAAGCCCAGCCACUUCCCAGAUAGGACUGAUUUCUCCCUGAACUCAGUUCAUUUAAGGUCUCCGCCCCAUGGAAGGAACACAGGAAUCUGUGGCAGUGAACUCAGCAACAUUUGUUACCCAGCCCAAGAAUAAACAGAGAAAGCAAGCUCUCCACAUCUUCAGAAGUGCAUUUACUAUACUCGAAACAGAUGAAUUCUCUCUGUUUGCAUUAAUCGCAUGAC